RNAcentral lists this microRNA precursor (78 nucleotides) under Schistosoma margrebowiei. RNAcentral describes it as "mir-3492 microRNA precursor family". It matches the Rfam family "mir-3492 microRNA precursor family". The record is from Rfam by way of RNAcentral. Lineage: Eukaryota; Metazoa; Platyhelminthes; Trematoda; Strigeidida; Schistosomatidae.
AGCUUUUGGAAGCCGUGCUGAGAUUUCAUCAGACAUCAAACCAUUAGGGCUGAUCAAACUCCUAAGAUAUGUGGAGUU